This 2090-nucleotide ribosomal RNA is filed under the name uncultured Pyrsonympha sp. RNAcentral describes it as "partial small subunit ribosomal RNA". It matches the Rfam family "Eukaryotic small subunit ribosomal RNA". Lineage: Eukaryota; Preaxostyla; Oxymonadida; Pyrsonymphidae. The record is from RNAcentral.
AUUUGGUUGAUCCUGCCAGUAGUCAUAUGCUUGUCUCAAGGAUUGAGCCAUGCAAGUCUAAGUAUAAUCAAAUUAACUGAUGACACUGCGAAAAGCUCCUAAAAUAGUUAUAAUUUAUUUGAUGGUGACGUUUACUACUCAGAUAGCCGUAGUAAUUCUAGAGCUAAUACGUGCGUAAACGGCCUACUGUGUGAACGGAAGGCCCGUGUUUAUUAGAUCGAAAACCAGCGCCUCGUGGGGGUGGGCAACCGUCCGUGCGGGGAAGCCAUGUUGAGUCAUGAUAAUCGUCGUAUCGACCGCGGUCGAUAUUUCAUUCAAAUUUCUAACCUGUCAACCUGACGUUAAGGUAGUGUCUUAAAGUAGUCGUGACGGGUGACGGGCAAUCAGGGUUCGACACCGGAGAUGGAGCCUGAGAAAUAGCCACAAUUGCUAAGGUGAGCAGCAGGCGCGCAAAUUACCCACUGGCAAUAAAUUUGCUGAGGUAGUGACAAAAAAUACCGAUAUCGGACUUCGGUUCGACAAUUGGAAUGGGGUGGGUGCGAAUAGCCCGCCGAGCAACCAUUAGAGGGCAAGUCUGGUGCCAGCAGCCGCGGUAAUUCCAGCUCUAAUAGUGUAUACUAACGUUGCUGAUGUUAAAAAGCUCGUAGUUGGAUUGUAGAUGGAGCUAUUCGUCCUUGUGAUUUUUGUCGGCUCGGGUUUGCUGGUUAGUUGCCUGCUUUUCUGCCGUGGGUUGUUUCAAGAUCCCGGUGGGGAGGGGUGCUGGUUGGCGCCGGGUUGGCCGCAGGGAUUGCUUCGUCAAUUUUAUUUUUUUCGAAUUGCCACGGUCUUCCUCACUGAGGUACGGUGACGGUCCGGAAGGUUUACUUUGAAGAGAAUGGAGUGUUCAAAGCAGGCGUUUCGCAGCUGAACACAUUAGCAUGAAAUAAUAAAAUAGGACAUCAGUGGGGUUCUCGCCGGCCUCGUUUAAUUUAUCUUCCUCUGCUUUUCUUUUUCCCAUCUGUAGGACAUUUUGUCGUCUCUGCUUCUGGUAGGGGCAGUGGAGUGGUUCUUUCAGGUGGAGGAUGUUGAAGGGCGGGGAUGUCGGGGGACCUCUGCUUUUUUUAUAUUCAUCCGUUUUGUUGGUUUUCUGGAGCUGGUGUAAUGAUUAAUAGGGACUGCUGGGGGCAUUACCAUUUCGAUGUCGGAGGUGAAAUUCACGGAUUUUCGAAAGAGUAACUAGUGCGAAAGCAUUUGCCAAGGAUGUUUUCAUUAAUCAAGAACGAAAGUGAGGGGAUCGAAGACGAUCAGAAACCGUCGUAGUCCUCGCCAUAAACUAUACCGUCUCGGGAUUGGGGGUUGACUCUUUUACAUAGUCUCCUUUAGCACCGCAGGGAAACCAAAGUUUUCGGGUUCAUGGGGGAGUAUGGCCGCAAGACUGAAACUUAAAGAAAUUGACGGAAGGGCACCACCAGAUGUGGAGCAUGCGGCUCAAUUCGACUCAACACGGGGAAACUUAUCACGUUCGGACAUGGUGAGGAUUGACAGAUUGACAGCUCCUUCUUGAUUCCGUGGGUGGUGGUGCAUGGUCGUUCUUAGUUGGUGGGGUGGCUUGUCUGCUUAAUUGCGAUAACGAACGAGACCUCUCUCUGCUAAAUAAUGGGGUGCCACGGCUCGCAAGUGUCGUGGUGUUGUUUACCGUUCCUUAGAGAAACUACCGUUGAGAAACGGGGGAAGUGAGGCAAUAACAGGUCCGUUACGCCCUUAGAUAAUCUGAACCGCACGCGUACUACUAUAGCCGCCUCAACGAGUUUGCCCUGGCCUGGAAGGGUUGGGUAAUCUUUGGAGUAGCGGCUGUGCUGGGGAUCGGUUUUUGUAAUUCUGGACCGUGAAAGCGGAAUAUCUCGUAAGUGCAGUUCAUCAGACUGCGCUGAUUACGUCCCUGCCCUUUGUACACACCGCCCGCCGCUCCUACCGAUGAAUGAUCAGGUGAAAUGCUCGGAUGGCGCAGUUGUGGCGGGUCUCUCGGGGCCCGCUGCGACCGCUCCAGAAGAGCAGUAAAUCUUAUUAUUUAGAGGAAGGAGAAGUCGUAACAAGGUUUUCGUAGGUGAACC